GGACCCCACUGCUAUCGGGGUAGGACUAAGCCAUGCGAGUCGAGCGUCUCCGAGCCGACGGCGGAGACGCGGCGGACGGCUCCGUAACACGUAGCCAACCUACCUUCGGGACGGGGAUAACCCCGGGAAACUGGGGCUAAUCCCCGAUAGGCAAGGAGGCCUGGAAUGGUCCCUUGCCCAAAGGGCGUUGGAACCGCGCUUCCAACGCCGCCCGAAGAUGGGGCUGCGGCCGAUCAGGUAGUUGGUGGGGUAACGGCCCACCAAGCCUAUAACCGGUACGGGCCGUGAGAGCGGGAGCCCGGAGAUGGGCACUGAGACAAGGGCCCAGGCCCUACGGGGCGCAGCAGGCGCGAAACCUCCGCAAUGCGCGAAAGCGCGACGGGGUUACCCCGAGUGCCGUCCGCUGAGGACGGCUUUUCCCCGGUGUAAUGAGCCGGGGGAAUAAGGGGAGGGCAAGCCUGGUGUCAGCCGCCGCGGUAAUACCAGCUCCCCGAGUGGUGGGGACGAUUAUUGGGCCUAAAGCGUCCGUAGCCGGCCCGGCAAGUCUCCCGUUAAAUCCAACGAUCUAAUCGUUGGGCUGCGGGAGAUACUGUCGGGCUAGGGGGCGGGAGAGGCCGGCGGUAUUCCCGGGGUAGGGGUGAAAUCCUAUAAUCCCGGGAGGACCACCAGUGGCGAAGGCGGCCGGCUGGAACGCGCCCGACGGUGAGGGACGAAAGCUGGGGGAGCGAUCCGGAUUAGAUACCCGGGUAGU
This 751-nucleotide ribosomal RNA is filed under the name uncultured crenarchaeote. RNAcentral's name for it is "bacterial SSU rRNA". It matches the Rfam family "Archaeal small subunit ribosomal RNA", at positions 19 to 745 of the family's 1478-position model. The record is from RNAcentral. Lineage: Archaea; Thermoproteati; Thermoproteota.